Thamnophis elegans (Western terrestrial garter snake) is the source of this 373-nucleotide long non-coding RNA. RefSeq lists it as uncharacterized. The record is from RefSeq and is a predicted model, not a curated record. The transcript has 3 exons. Lineage: Eukaryota; Metazoa; Chordata; Lepidosauria; Squamata; Natricidae.
AUCACUAAAUAAAAUGUGGUUAACGGAUUUCUUGACUUGAAGUUUCAAUUCCCCUCCCACAAAAGGGGAAGCCUGUUUACAGUGAUAACUGCGGACAACGAGAUACAUUUUGAAAAAGUUGGACAAAGUUUCUUUGAAAUGUGUCACAAGAUUGUUCUCCGACUCUGCUUCUCAGUGCUUUUCUUAAGAGCUGGGGAACGACAAGGAGGUGGUGCCUGGAGAGGAGGAGGCGGGGCUACGCAGGAAGGAGGGGCUGGGAAAUGGAGCGCCUUCACUUUCGGAACCAGAGAGCUGAUGGAAGGAGCGGUUCGCUUCGGAGGCAGAGAAACCGGAAGAGGACGGAGGAGCCCGGCGGGGGAGGGAAGGAAGGAAG